GCAUCACAGUUGUCUUGUGGUUAAGUCCUUGAUCUUUGAUUAUGUCAAACGUCAUUCCAUUGGAGUGUCCACGACAUCGUUGGGGUUAAGCCACUUAGUCAUGGAGGCAAGUGAAUGCGCAACAAGGUAUCUUUAACCUUCAAACUGUUUGAGGGAGAAUACUCUAUGAUAUGAUUCAGAAUCUUUGGCCAAAGUAUGAAUGAGAUUUAGGAAAACGUUCCAAAUCACAUUCAAGGUAAUCAUAUAAGCACACGAAUCACAUUGGAU
This 267-nucleotide long non-coding RNA is filed under the name Malus domestica (apple). Its description in RNAcentral is "long non-coding RNA (MDOM_LNC015209)". The record is from RNAcentral. Lineage: Eukaryota; Viridiplantae; Streptophyta; Magnoliopsida; Rosales; Rosaceae.